This 333-nucleotide ribosomal RNA is filed under the name uncultured bacterium. RNAcentral's name for it is "bacterial SSU rRNA". It matches the Rfam family "Bacterial small subunit ribosomal RNA", at positions 568 to 898 of the family's 1533-position model. The record is from RNAcentral.
CGCGUAGGCGGAUUGUUAAGCGAGAUGUGAAAACCGGGGGCUCAACCCGCGGCCUGCAUCUCGAACUGGCAGUCUUGAGUCUGGUAGAGGAAAGUGGAAUUCCCAGUGUAGCGGUGAAAUGCGCAGAUAUUGGGAGGAACACCAGUGGCGAAGGCGGCUUUCUGGGCCACGACUGACGCUGAGGCGCGAAAGCUAGGGGAGCGAACAGGAUUAGAUACCCUGGUAGUCCUAGCCGUAAACGAUGGGCACUAGGUGUGGGGGGUCUCCAACUCCCUCCGUGCCGCAGCUAACGCAUUAAGUGCCCCGCCUGGGGAGUACGGCCGCAAGGCUAAA